Long non-coding RNA from Dermacentor albipictus, 1535 nucleotides. RefSeq lists it as uncharacterized. NCBI's taxonomy places the organism in Eukaryota, Metazoa, Arthropoda, Arachnida, Ixodida, Ixodidae. The record is from RefSeq and is a predicted model, not a curated record.
GUAUGAAACGUCCGCAAUGACAAGACGAACUGUGCACGCCGCUAUGGGGUGAAUACGCUGGGCGCUGGUUGCACGGAUAGUCCAGGAAGUAGCGUCGUCACUUUUCGAAGCGAAAGGCUAAGUUGCGCAGUCAUAACGGAUACGGCGGCGCCAGUGUCCACAAGCGCUGAUGCGUGAACACAAACACGCCUAUCACAUUCGAUGGGCUUCGUUGAAUGCUUUCAGAUUUCGAUAGCGUCGCAGGAUGUGCCUCGUGGACUGCGACGACUAGUUUUUCCCCUCGCGAGCGAAGGGACGAGGCCGCAUCGGCGAUAGUGAGCGACGACGUGGAGAAGGCGAGCGGCGGGCCUUGGGCGUGCUGCCGGUGGCAAGUCACAGGGUGGGUCAUCGUAUGGGCGGGGAGAACCCACAAGACGACUUGUCAGCUGAGAAAGAUUACCGGACGGCGACAUGCCCGACCGCAGGCGCUCGCGAGGAAGUACGAGAACCACCCUAAUGUCUUUCACGUAGACGCGGCCAGCACCGCAAGAAGCACCGUAUUUGUCACCAGCGUAGUCGACAGCCACGGAACCUAAACAAAUGCGUCGUCGGUCUCCAGAGCGAGCGCUGCCGAGGCAGAGGAACCAGCGAUAAUGCUAGGCAUCACGACGAGACACACUGGGAGUGCGUCAUAGUUCUGGCGGACUCAGACAGCAUGCAGAAAAUUUUCCAGGGCCGCACAUCGCAUUCUGAGUGGAGCGCACCAGCUCCCAUUAUGCAUAGAAAUCGUGUGGAUUGUGGGGAAUGAGUCCUUACGCGGUAAUCGGAAGGCACACGCGUAUACGCCCGAGCGCUGCACACCACAGGAGCCGCGAGAGGGCCGCGCCGAGCAGUUCAACCCCGAGCCCAACCUACACACACAUCCUACAACACUAGCGCCAUUCACGAAGAACAUUACCGCCUCCUCACAAUGACCUGACGCGAGAGGAAGCCGUCAUACGGCGAAAACGCAUAUCCACACUUGAGUCUCUAUCACGCCAUACACCUUGCGCUGUAUUGCUAUAAGCGCCCACACUGCGUUCAAUGCGCGCGCUUUACCACAUGGUAUUGGCUCGCGCUAGCACACCACAACUCAUACCCACAACAUGCCCCGCCACCCGGCAACGGGAGGCAGCGCUGUCCAGCUCCGACUCGACGGACCAGCUCAACCUGGUCAACCGAGCGAGAAGGGCAGCUCAGGCCGCCAGACUCCUGGACUGAGGGGACCACCCACUGCACAGCGGAAGAGCUAUACAUACGCUCGUGUGCUCUUUUCUGUAAAGUUUACUCUCUCUCCCCCUCUCGAUGAGAGAAAUGAAGGUCUAUAGCUUCUCCCCUCUUUAAUAUUGCGCUCAAUCCGUGGCACUGAUGACUUUACUGUGACGUCAUCGCCACCUCGUAUACUUCGCUUUCUGCCUACGUACGUAUACUUACCAUUGUGCCCACAGUCUGCGUGCUUCAGAGACCGCAGCACCAACUUCUUGCGAACGUGGAGAUCUACAUAUUUAUAGAUUUUG